This 403-nucleotide ribosomal RNA is filed under the name uncultured bacterium. RNAcentral's name for it is "partial 16S ribosomal RNA". It matches the Rfam family "Bacterial small subunit ribosomal RNA", at positions 30 to 526 of the family's 1533-position model. The record is from RNAcentral.
AUUGAACGCUGGCGGCGUGCCUAAUACAUGCAAGUCGAACGCAGUGGGGACGGGUGAGUAACACGUGGGUAACCUCCCAUCAGAGGGGAUAACCCUUGGAAACAGGUGCUAAACCGAUACUGAUGGAUGGACCCGCGGUGCAUUAGCUAGUUGGGGAGGUAACGGCUCACCAAGGGCACGAGGCAUAGCCGACCUGCGCGGGUGAUAGGCCACACUGGGACUGAGACACGGCCCAGACGCCUACGGUAGGCAGCAGUGGGGAAUCUUCGGCAAUGGACGAAAGUCUGACCGAGCAACGCCGCGUGAGUGAAGAAGGUUUUCGGAUCGUAAAACUCUGUUGUUAGAGAAGCGGUAUCUAACCAGAAAGCCACGGCUAACUACGUGCCAGCAGCCGCGGUAAUAC